RNAcentral lists this transfer RNA (71 nucleotides) under Chloroflexota bacterium. RNAcentral's name for it is "tRNA-Gln". It matches the Rfam family "tRNA". From Rfam's summary of the family: Transfer RNA (tRNA) molecules are approximately 80 nucleotides in length. Lineage: Bacteria; Bacillati; Chloroflexota. The record is from RNAcentral.
GGGUCGGUAGUUUAAGAGAAGAACACCGUCUUUGACACACGGAGAUCCGGGUGCGACUCCCGGCCGAUCCA